This 433-nucleotide ribosomal RNA is filed under the name uncultured bacterium. RNAcentral's name for it is "partial 16S ribosomal RNA". It matches the Rfam family "Bacterial small subunit ribosomal RNA", at positions 29 to 507 of the family's 1533-position model. The record is from RNAcentral.
AGCGAACGCUGGCGGCAGGCCUAACACAUGCAAGUCGAACGAACUCUUCGGAGUUAGUGGCGGACGGGUGAGUAACACGUGGGAACGUGCCUUUAGGUUCGGAAUAACUCAGGGAAACUUGUGCUAAUACCGAAUGUGCCCUUCGGGGGAAAGAUUUAUCGCCUUUAGAGCGGCCCGCGUCUGAUUAGCUAGUUGGUGAGGUAAAGGCUCACCAAGGCGACGAUCAGUAGCUGGUCUGAGAGGAUGAUCAGCCACAUUGGGACUGAGACACGGCCCAAACUCCUACGGGAGGCAGCAGUGGGGAAUGUUGCGCAAUGGGCGAAAGCCUGACGCAGCCAUGCCGCGUGAAUGAUGAAGGUCUUAGGAUUGUAAAAUUCUUUCACCGGGGACGAUAAUGACGGUACCCGGAGAAGAAGCCCCGGCUAACUUCGUG